AAGCACUUAUGACCAGACUUGGACCCGGUGAAUCAUCCAGCGUUCUCGCUGGUGCACUUUGCCGGGCUCAGGCCAGCAUCGGUUCGGGUGGUCGGAGAAAGGCGGGGGGAAUGUGGCUUCCCUCGGGAAGUGUUAUAGCCCCUCGUGGAAUGCGACCUACCUGGACCGAGGGCCGCGCCUCGGCGAGGAUGCUGGCGUAAUGGUGGUCAGCG
Molecule: ribosomal RNA, 212 nt
Filed under: Hypocreales sp.
Lineage: Eukaryota; Fungi; Ascomycota; Sordariomycetes; Hypocreales
Description: partial large subunit ribosomal RNA
Source: RNAcentral